This 429-nucleotide ribosomal RNA is filed under the name Bacteroidota bacterium. RNAcentral describes it as "Bacteroidetes bacterium partial 16S ribosomal RNA". It matches the Rfam family "Bacterial small subunit ribosomal RNA", at positions 355 to 776 of the family's 1533-position model. Lineage: Bacteria; Pseudomonadati; Bacteroidota. The record is from RNAcentral.
UAGGGAAUCUUCCGCAAUGGACGCAAGUCUGACGGAGCAACGCCGCGUGAGUGAAGAAGGAUUUCGGUUCGUAAAACUCUGUUGUUAGAGAAGAACAGCGCAUAGAGUAACUGUUAUGCGUGUGACGGUAUCUAACCAGAAAGCCACGGCUAACUACGUGCCAGCAGCCGCGGUAAUACGUAGGUGGCAAGCGUUGUCCGGAUUUAUUGGGCGUAAAGCGAGCGCAGGCGGUCAAUUAAGUCUGAUGUGAAAGCCCCCGGCUCAACCGGGGAGGGUCAUUGGAAACUGGUUGACUGGAGUGCAGAAGAGGAGAGUGGAAUUCCAUGUGUAGCGGUGAAAUGCGUAGAUAUAUGGAGGAACACCAGUGGCGAAGGCGACUCUCUGGUCUGUAACUGACGCUGUGGCUCGAAAGCGUGGGUAGCAAACAGG